UUAAUAUAAAGAGUCGGACCUGCCCGGUGACUAUAUUGUUAAACGGCCGCGGUACCCUAACCGUGCAAAGGUAGCAUAAUCAUUUGCCUUUUAAUUGGAGGCUGGUAUGAAUGGUUUGACGAGAGCUAAGCUGUCUCUUUUGAAAUAUAUAAAAAUUAACUUUUAGGUGAAGAGGCCUAAAUUUAUUUAAGGGACAAGAAGACCCUGUUGAGCUUUAGUAAAAUUAUAAAUAUUUAAUGUCUAAACGACUUUGGUGUAUGUUGGCGUACAACCAUAAUUUGUAACUAAUCUUUAGUUGGGGCGACUGAGGAACAUAAAAAGCUUCCUUACAGUAAUUGAUUAAUUCUAACAAGAGUUAUUUUAAUGCUAUCAUGUUAUUUUGAUCCAGAGUGUUUUGAUUAAAGGAAAAAGUUACCACAGGGAUAACAGCGUAAUCUUUCUGGAGAGAUCUUAUCGAAAGAAGGGUUUGCGACCUCGAUGUUGGACUAAGAUAUCCUAAGGGUGUAGAAGUUCUUAAAGGUUGGUCUGUUCGACCAUUAAAAUCUUACGUGAUCUGA
Molecule: ribosomal RNA, 557 nt
Filed under: Cantharidus antipodum
Lineage: Eukaryota; Metazoa; Mollusca; Gastropoda; Trochida; Trochidae
Description: partial 16S ribosomal RNA
Rfam family: Bacterial large subunit ribosomal RNA
Source: RNAcentral